Pongo abelii (Sumatran orangutan) is the source of this 107-nucleotide small nuclear RNA. The record is from Ensembl. NCBI's taxonomy places the organism in Eukaryota, Metazoa, Chordata, Mammalia, Primates, Hominidae.
GUGCUCACUUCGGCAGCACAUGUACUAAAAUUGGAACGAUAUAGAGAAGAUUAGCAUGGCCCUUGUGCAAGGAUGAAACACAAAUUUGUGAAGUGUUACAUAUUUUU